CAAAAAGACAUGCAACGUUCCAAUGUAUCGAUUUGUCUUCAAUAUUGAACUAUUGACCAAAUAGGUAUAAACUACACAGAGAUAUAAAUAUUUGUGGAUAGACAGACUCACACGCACUCAUGUAUGAACUCACACGCACUAAGAAACACGCACGUGAAAAUCAUCGUAUUUACAAUAGUCCUAAAAAAAAAAAAAAGCAUAUUGAAAUUCAACGCGAACACAUGCAGACGUCAUUUUACCCAUUUGAUA
This is a non-coding RNA of Biomphalaria pfeifferi, 249 nucleotides long. NCBI's taxonomy places the organism in Eukaryota, Metazoa, Mollusca, Gastropoda, Planorbidae. The record is from the annotation of a GenBank genome assembly.